Non-coding RNA from Nothobranchius furzeri (turquoise killifish), 1811 nucleotides. The record is from RefSeq and is a predicted model, not a curated record. Lineage: Eukaryota; Metazoa; Chordata; Actinopteri; Cyprinodontiformes; Nothobranchiidae.
CAGCUUCCCGCUGCCGCCGCAGGCUUCCCCCUCACCGGACGCACACACCGGGCAGCAGUGGCACACGUCGAGGCCCUUUCCCGCCGAACAGUCCGCUGGUAACCGGGGACACAUCGACUUGUCACACUGAGAGGGACAUCCGACAACAAACCGGCUGGAGAGUUGCGCAUCCGCAGGGAAAAUGUCUGUCCGACAGUUAAUGACCCUGUUUACAGAACAGCUGACAUCAGGUGGGAUUAUCCAGAUCAGAAACAGUCAAGAAUCAAGUUCAUCUGCAAGGAAAAUAAUUUAAUGAAAUAGUAUCAGCAUCAUGCUCUAGAUGGAGCUUUUACCCUUACAAACACCAGCAGUGGCACCAGCGUGUCCAUCAGUAGAGUCUCGACAUGAUGAUGGUGUUUACUGGUGUGGAGAGAAAGAAGAGGAUGGAAGUUCCCGAGCUGGACUCGAAAGUCACCAGCUGGAGAAAACCUUACGUUCUUUUGCAACGAUCUUAUAAAAUCCAUCUGUAAGGGAGAAGAUCCAACUACAUGUCAGCUUCUUGUAAACACAACAAAACUAAAUAUGGACCACAGAUUUUUUUUAUGAAAGAAGCUGAAACAAACAAAUUCACCAUAACAAUAAGAGAAGUAACAACAGCUGAUUCUGGGUGGUACUGGCGUGGAGCUGAAAACACCAACGAGCAAAACAGCAAAAUAUUCACCCGCAGAGUGUCCUUAAAUGCUGGCGAGUUGUGAUGUUUUAAUCUGACCCAGGUUCAGCUGGUGGAGUUACUCUGAUUAAUGCCGAGUUCACAUUUUUCACACUGGCUCAAACAUCAGAGAGGAUGGCAGCUGGAUUAGACACAUCUGGAGAGGUUUAAAGUUGUUGUUUUCCUUCAGGACCAGCGGUCACAUCUCCUGUCACUUCUAAGAGUCCAAUUAAAACUGGCGACUCAAAGAAAGAAACAAAUGUAAUGGUCUGUGGGAUCCUGUUGGUGCUGCUUCUGGUUAUUAUCACAGCAGUAAAAAUUGUCUACAAACGGAAGAAUUUACAUCACUUCCUUGUGUACAACAUAAAAAUCCUACAUAUGACGUUCAAACAUGAGGUCACGAUGUUUUAAUGUUUUACUGUGAUAAUUGUUUUAGCUCAUUUUCAGGUUUAAAAACAAAAAGUAAGAGAAAAUGACAGUCAUUUUAAGGAUCAGAGGUUUGUUGCAUCAGUUCCCCAUAAUAGAAACGUGAUAAAAAAUUAACUUUAGCUCUUUGUUCAUUUGAACUGACAGGAAAUCCGUGUUUGAAACCAGCUGAGAUCAGAGCAGUGCAUCAGCAGCCUGGCCGGUGCUCAGGUUUUUAACUUAUGUUCUCACGGAUGUUCGGACUAAAUUACUGAUCACAUCAGGACUCUGUGUAUGAAGAGAUACCGGAGCAGUCUCAGACUCCAGUGAACAGCAUUUAUGUCACAGCUAACUUUGACGACGCGCCUUGCUGCAUUACUCCACCAUCAACCUUCCAAGCGGCUCAGACGGAGGCGUUUUGUAUCCGAGACCCGGUUCUGCUUCCUGCCAAUAUGCACUUUUAGACUGCAUCUUGGGUUCUGCCGAUGGAGGAUCCAGACCCACAGAACCACCUGUUCACUCCACAGUCCAGAAGUCACACAGAAGUCACACACUCCACAGUCUCUGAUUUCUGCCUGAGCUUUCCUGUUUGGUUCAGUCGUGGACGACACAGCAGGUCUGUGAUUUACUGGAAACUGUUUCAGAACAGUGCUAUGCUUCACAGUGUUAUGGACGUAAUAUUCACUUUAGAAGUGUGUGUGUGUGUGUGUGUGGGGGG